AGAGUUUGAUCAUGGCUCAGAACGAACGUUAGCGGCGCGCCUAACACAUGCAAGUCGCACGAGAAAGGGCUUCGGCCCCGGUACAGUGGCGCACGGGUGAGUAACACGUAGAUCAUCUCCCCUCGAGUGGUGGAUAACUCUCCGAAAGGAGAGCUAAUACAGCAUAAGACCACGGCUUCGUUGAAGCUGCGGCCAAAGCAGGCCUCUACACGUAAGCUUGCGCUUGAGGAUGAGUCUGCGGCCCAUCAGCUAGUUGGUAGGGUAAUGGCCUACCAAGGCUAAGACGGGUAGCUGGUCUGAGAGGAUGAACAGCCACACUGGAACUGAGACACGGUCCAGACUCCUACGGGAGGCAGCAGUGGGGAAUCUUGCGCAAUGGGCGAAAGCCUGACGCAGCGACGCCGCGUGAGCGAUGAAGGCCUUCGGGUUGUAAAGCUCUGUGGGGAGGAAAGAAUAAGGCUUGGCUAACAUCCAAGCUGAUGACGGUACCUCCUUAGCAAGCACCGGCUAACUCUGUGCCAGCAGCCGCGGUAAGACAGAGGGUGCAAACGUUGUUCGGAAUUACUGGGCGUAAAGCGCGUGUAGGCGGCCCUGCAAGUCGGAUGUGAAAUCCCAUGGCUCAACUAUGGAAGUGCAUUCGAAACUGCAGGGCUAGAGUCCUGGAGAGGAAGGUGGAAUGCUUGGUGUAGAGGUGAAAUUCGUAGAUAUCAAGCGGAACACCGGUGGCGAAGGCGGCCUUCUGGACAGUGACUGACGCUGAGACGCGAAAGCGUGGGGAGCAAACAGGAUUAGAUACCCUAGUAGUCC
Molecule: ribosomal RNA, 807 nt
Filed under: uncultured bacterium
Lineage: Bacteria
Description: bacterial SSU rRNA
Rfam family: Bacterial small subunit ribosomal RNA
Source: RNAcentral